UGUUUUUCUUGACCAGAUCUGUGACUCUAAAGGAAGCAAACAUAAAUUGUGACGUCAUUCUUUAAUAUUUCACUUAAUGAUAUGCUCGGUGUCCCCUGUUUGGAUAUAUCGAGAACAAUUAAAUUGCCAUAUUUCCUUGACUUUGAACACUUCAAGAUUAACAUAAAUAGUGAUAUAAAUACUGACCAAAUAUACACCUAAACUAAUAGUAAUUGGUAUGCCUGUUUUAAAGCCCUAUGAAUUAAAUGGAGAAUUACUCUCACGCCAUUAAAAGAGAUCAAGCUUUGCCAUUAUAUCUUCAGACAGAACUGUUCACUUUUUAUCUUUUUUUGUUUGUUUUUGUUUUCAAAUUUGUUCUACCUUUGGGGUAAAAGUUGAAAUUGUAGAAAAGUUUAAAAGAUUGUACUUCGAAACCACAAUUUACCACAAAUAAUAGACGGUAAACAGCAGUGCUUUUUUGACAGAAUAAAUCAAUAGAACUAUAAAUAUGAUAAUGAUAUAAAUUAAUGACAGAGACCAUUUUCAAGGGAAAACAAGAUUGAUACUUUUGAAUUUACAUCUGUUGAAAUGCUAUUUCUGUCCUCAAUUUGCUUUGAAUGUUGUUGGGUUUAACGUCACAACGACACAGCUUUUGAUGGCGGAGGAAGACUCAAAGUGCCCUUCCGUGCAUUUUUUCAUCACCGAAUGGCACCUGGGUAGAACCACCGACCUUCCGUUAGCCAACGGGAUGGUUUCCUCAUAUGAAUUAUUUAACGCCCUGAGCGAGGCCUGAACCCACGUCGGUGAGGUGAAUGUGACUCAAUCAACAACCUUAACCACUUAGCCCUUUAGAACAAAUCAUAGAGAAAUAAAAGCAUAAAGUUCCAUCUUAUUUAAGAAAUUACUUUGCACUCUUUUAGAGCCUGUGACUGUGAAUUUGAAGAUAUUGUGGUAACAUGAACUGGAUGAUUUUUACUGUGUAAAUACAUUCGAAUAUGAACAAUUUUAUCACUGUUUAAUACAAAAGUACAGUUGUUUGUCGUAACAAUAACCCGCUUUUUAGGCAUAGUACUAGAGCCGAUUUCGCAAUCGAAUAUCGCCGGAAGUAGAACAUUUAUGUCAACACCGGUUUCGUAUUUUCACGUGAAAACGGCCGAAAACAGAGGUUAUCAACAAAUUAUAAGUUUACGGGUACCAUGAGGAUUUUUCAUGCAUUUAAACGAAAGAAGUACAAGCGAACAGAUGACACAUUAAAGUGGCUGCAGAAGAUUGAAAAGUUAGAUAGUGCAGGGGCAGUCAAAACAGUGGGAUAAUACUUCUAUAUAAUUUCCUUUUAAAGGCAAUUUAUACAGGAUGGUGUCCAACAUGUCUAGUCAGGUUGACAGAAGUGAAAGAUGAUCUGAUGGUACAACGAUGUACAAAUGAUACUCUUUAACAAGUUUAACAUGUCAAGGUGUAAAAUGUUCUGUGGAUUCAUAUGAUGAGAAUGCCAGUGUUGAUCUGUAUGACUUAAUUAAACACAGAUAUUGAUACCUUCAGAUAUAUACCUGUGAAACCUUCAGUGUCACCGUUCAGCUAUUGUUCAAGAUCAGUGUCUGCAGCUUGCAAAGUUUAGUAUAGAGGAGCUUUCUGAAUCAACUUUGUUACAUAUUCGCUGUUAUUGUAGGACACACAUGUAGGGAGCAGCAAGUCCUGUCCAGCCGAGCAUGUAAAUGUGAUUCAGAAACUUUGAGAAUAUGUAAACAUUACACUGUUAUAAUUUUCAAAAUACUGUGUCUUGUAGUGUAUCAGUACUGUUUUGUCUCAGUUUAUAGCACAGUAUGUGCAAAAAUCAAACUUAAGACCAUAGUGAUCAGUAUUAUUAAAAUCAUUAAUUAUUUGUAUGGUGACAAAAUUUAAUUUCAUGCAAUACCACAGUAAAACGUUAUAUAAUUUUCGCUUUUAAAGUUGUAAGUUUAAGGCUGGCAUAAAUUGUUUUUUUUCUUUCAUAAAUCUAAAAAGUGAUUGGCCAUUAUAACUGCAAUAUCAUUUUAGUAUGACAAAGUUUAUAUUGUUUAUCGUACGUGUCAUGGCCCACAACUCCUCCAUAUUACUUGUGUUUUGUCCUUUUUCAUUUCACUGAAGAAUAGGUAGAGGUAUUGCACAUCCAUUUUUUAGCAUCCUGAUUUUGUAAAGUGUUGUAUGUAAGGUUUUUUCUCGGAAUGUCUCAUCUAAAGGUGGGGAGAGGUAUUAAUUAUGCCUUCUCGUCUAUCCGCAUUAAGCCUGUCUGGCUUUAAGAGGACAAGCUACUGGCCAGAUUUUGAUGAAACUUCACAGGACUGUUCAGUACCAAGCAUAGUGUUGUGCUUAUCGCUUGCAUGUUUUGUUUUGAUGCACUAAAUUGCAGCCAGAUCUAAAAAUAGAAAAAUCUUGUCGGCUUUCACAGGUUAAAAAUUCUUAACAGAUUUUGAUGAAACUUCACAGGAGUGAUCAGUACCAAGUAUCUAUUUGCAUAUCACCGACACUUCCCAUUUUGCUGCACAAAAUAGCCGCCACAGCUAAAGUAUACAUAGGUGGGAGACAUGUUUUGUCAUAAAAAUACCUAAAACACCUUCCACUUUGUUAAUGAAAAAUGUAACAAACUUCUUACAAUUGCAAACUGUAAUAAUUUGACAUUAAAUGCACUAGUUCCAUAACUGCAUUUGGCUUUUUUCAUAAUUAUUGCCCUUUUCUUACCAUAGCAAUAUUUUGUGUAACAUGUUACCUCAUUAAGCAUCAUAAGAUCAGAAAGGUCUAUGACUCAGAAAUGUUGGCCCUUUUGUACUUGUCAUGAGUAUGUUUUCAGUAUUUUAAAUUGUCAUUACUUUUUGUUGUUCCAGUUUACGGAAAUGAAGACUUAGUUGUCCAAAUGAUGUGCCUGUCCAGAUUUGUUUGUCUGGACAAUAUAUUAUUGAUAAGUCUUCACGAAACUUUGCAGGUUAAUUUCCUUAAGUUCCCUGUCAAUUUUGAUAGAGGCACGGUUACUUUAGAAACACUAAAGUGAUGUCACCACUGUACUAGUCAGACGUUUUGUAUUUCAGAUUUUAUAUCACAUUACAGGCUACUGGUCUUUAGCAGCCUCCAUAAAACUUUCAUAAAAGUUUCCAAAAAUGUUGUAUUUUGAUUUGAACUGGCAUUAUUCAAACAGUAAGAAGUAGUACUAUAAGGCAACAUUUCACCUCUUUUCCAUUUCUUUUUGAUUUUCUCUGUUACUAUGAAGUUGCCUUUUCCUAGAAAUUGGUUGGCUUAUUUUUGAUGAUCUUAUGUUUUUAAUCAAUUGUAGCUAUGUUCUUUAUCUCAUGAAAAUUUCCAUUUUUAUAUAAUUCAUAUUUUUUACUGUCAGCAAAGUGCAAUACCACAUACUUAUCACUUUCAUUAACAUACCUGUACUAUUUUUAUAAAACAUUAUAUAAAUCAUUAUAUUUCAUAUAAACAGAAUUAAAUAAAUAUUUAAGAACAUCAGUGUUUUCUUUUAUUGAUACAUGAAACAGACCAUAGGUCAAUUUAGGGUCAAUUCUGACACUUUAUACGCAAAUUGAUAAGGGAGGUAACUAGUACUGUCUUAAGUAACCAAUAUUUAGUUACACAGUUACCUUCCCUUUACACAGGUAGGACUAUUUGUUGUUGAUCAUCUUUUGAACAUUAUUCCAUUACUGAUGACAGAACAUUGAAAAUAAAAGUUGUUGUAUCAUGCCAUGACAUCAUAUAUGACAAUAUUUACUUUUUUAUUCCAUUUUUUAAAUAUUCUUUAAAUUAGGUACAAUGCCUACGCUUUUACUUACUUACUAACAAAACAGCUAUCUUACUGUAAUAAUAGUCUAAUAUUUUAUUAAUCUUAUCUGAUGCCUGAGCUUUUGUUUAAUACUUACUAAAUAGUUAAUUCACAAUGGUAUUUAUACUCAUUUAUUUCUUAAAUCUUUAAAAUGUCUUAAUUUUUAGACGUAAAAUUUUCUAUGUGUUUGUAAAACGCCAUUGAAUAUGUUUAAGGUAAAAAUAGGCGUUUAAUCAAAUAAAACAGCUUCAAGUUUCAAGUUUCAUCUUUGUCAACGUCCAAAUAUGACCUUACGUAUAGAACAGAAGUAAUGAACCGAGUAGGUAAGGAUAGUAAUAAAAACACCAAUGACAUCUUAGAUUUAUUUAUAUAUAUUUUGUAAAUCAGUCUAAUUUUAAUCAAAUACUAGCUAUGACGUAAAGAAUUCAUUUACAUUUAGCAAAUAGACUAUUUACAAUAUAUUGACAUCCAUACUGAUUUUUAUCUUCAAAUGAUUUUUCAGAAAUAUAUUGUAUGUCGCGCUUUUACUUUCAGUUUGAACUAGAUGACCGCCAUUUAGCAGGAAGUGAUACCAGGAUAUGAAAUUGUUCAGCAAAUUCCUAGCAUU
This is a long non-coding RNA of Mercenaria mercenaria, 4376 nucleotides long. RefSeq lists it as uncharacterized. Lineage: Eukaryota; Metazoa; Mollusca; Bivalvia; Venerida; Veneridae. The record is from RefSeq and is a predicted model, not a curated record. The transcript has 5 exons.